UCAGCAGGGGCGCGGGAGAAUGCACCCCGCUGUUGCCACGGUAACAGCAAAAUGCUAGACGUAAUCCCCAUUGGGAGGAGGCUGGAGAAGGCAGCUUGCCCUCAAGGAGGGAAAAAAAAAAAAAGACAAAAAACAUCAGCCUGCCUCCGCACUGGUAUACCGUCUCUGCCUCUCUCAUACCUUAUGCAUGUCAAAAUAACCUUUCUGGAUUUUUUUUUUCUCCCUUUUGAUUUUUUUUGUAACGCUCAUGAAAGGCUGUGGACUGGAAGCUGGCAAAACCUUUUAUCUCCCCGCAAUAUAAGCGCAGCAGGGAAUACGCACUGCACUCUACAAAACAGUGAAGAUCAGAAAUACAGAAGAUGUGGGCCUACAUGUUGGAAGAAAGUUUCGUGAAGCCAAGACGCAGCUGGGUCUGCUUAUUUCAGCCAGCAGCGUCAGCAAUCAGGCUUGCUGCUCUGGCAUGCUGAGUUGUGGCCGUGAACUCACUGUCCUUCUCUCUCUCACAUUGAGCCUAAUUGUGAGCCAGUGGCAUGCAGGCAGAGCAGGCCCUGUGUGAUCUGGUAGAGAAGAGAGGGGUGAUCGGGCAUUGGAGUCUGCUUUGAAAAGGGGCCCCCACAGGGUAACUGACAGCCGUUUAGACGGGAAGGCCACAGAUAUUUAGGAAAAAGAAAAGAAGAAGAAAAAAAAAAUGAGCUUAAUUUGGACAAAAGGCCAGGCAAGGAGCCUGGGACCUCUGUAAGCCUGCUGACUGAAAUAAAGGCUAGGGCUAGAGGGCUCUUCUCUGACAGAUACCCAGUGACUGCUAAAGGUCAAAAGGUCAGGUCCACCUUCCCACAAACCACAAGCCUGCACAAAUUUAACUUCAUUCCCCUGUUCUGAAAAAAAUAUUCGAGUACAUCGAAGAAUGUUAAGAAUUAUUACGAAGAGGUGGGAAUGUAUCAAAAUACCAAUGAAAAAUAUGGAGUGACAUUUAAAUUGCAGAACUGGGAAAUAAAGAUUUCUAUAUCCUGUAUAUGUUUUAUAAAAAUACAUUUUCUUAGAUUCUUAAAUAUACAUAUAUUACACUGGAAAAGUGCAUUUACACUUAAUCAGAUGGUAUUAUAUUAAUGUAAAAGGAGAGCCUGAGCAUGCACUUGUAAUUGUCCCUAUACUAAGCCAACAAGUUAAAAAUCUGUUCUUAUUUGUGCAGUGUUUUAUCUUUAAGUACCAGAAAUGAAUUAAGUGUAUAUAAACAUCCAAUGACACUGCUUGUUGACAUACCCCUAUGAAUUUUCUCCACUUCUGCUAGAAUAUGUCCUGCCCACAUUUACAGUACACUAGGAAAUACUUCCGCUAUAGUACUAUUGUCUUCAAGUAUAUCUUGAAAUAUGUAUGGUAGCAUUUAUAGUGCAAUAAUAAACUAAAAUGCAUCUUACUGUAAUUGCACUUAAUGAGAAGUACCACUUGAAAUUAUUGGAUCUAUUAGAGUAUUUUAUGGAAGAAGGCAAUACAGUUUAGAAAGUCCCAGCAAUGUAGAGAUGGAAAAAUAUUUAGGACAUUACUAUUAUACCAAGGUCUUCUAGUUUUCUGGACUCCCCACAGAGCACAUUUGGGCCAUAUAAUAUGUGUCAGAUCCUUGCAAUGGUACACUAACACAAUUAUUACAGCAACGCCAACAUUUAGAUUGUGUGCCUAGAACAAGCACUGUUAAUGCUGUCAGCUGCAAAUAUUAGUAUCAAUUGUUCAUAUUUGCCUGAAUGUAAACAAUAUUCUAAGAUAUACUUCUGCAACAAUAAAUACUUGAAACGUAA
This is a long non-coding RNA of Lepisosteus oculatus (spotted gar), 1790 nucleotides long. RefSeq lists it as uncharacterized. Lineage: Eukaryota; Metazoa; Chordata; Actinopteri; Semionotiformes; Lepisosteidae. The record is from RefSeq and is a predicted model, not a curated record.